CAACCACUCGUUGUGUAACCUCUAUAACUACAACCUUGUUGAGACUAUGUUUUUAGAUUGAUAAUGUAAGACAUAAAAUGUCUAAACAAACAUCUGGCAGUAGUCAGAAGGAGAAACCUUGACAUUUUUUGCACGAAUGAGCCAUUACAUACAUAAAUGUAAUUAUAACGUAUCAUAGCUAAUUAUAAGGUACAAGAUAUCUUUAGUAUUUUCUGUUUUAAAAACUAAUCGUACCGUAUCGUCUGCUGUCAAUAUAAAGCGGCAACACCAUGAUUGUAAAUAUAUAAAUCUUUAAUCUAAUUAGCAUGCUCUGGAUAGGAAAUCGUUACAAAAUUUGCAGAUAUACGCUGUUUCAAUUAGCAUUUAAUUUUAAAUCCAUAUCAAUAUGCAAGCGUUAAUGAAAACUGAGCGAUAAUGUAAGCUUUUUAAUACGAAAACCAGAAUGUAAAAUAAAGGUUGUAUUUGUAAAGGAGUGUUUUCUGAAGCUAGCCUGACUGUUAUGAUGAUAACAACUCUGAUCAAGUAAAAUAAACAUAUCAUAGACAGGUGUUGUGUACUAUAGCUACAUUAUUUUAUAGACAAGUGGGCAUGUAAUUACUACAGAGAGGAAGAAGCUAAAUAGACGGAUGGUAGUAAUAGACAGGUUAAAGAUAUAGAAAGGCGAUAGCUAUAGACAGGUAGUAGUUAUAGACAGAUAAUAGCUAUAUAGCUAUAGAAAGGUGAUAGCUAUAGACUUAUGGUAGUUAUAGACAGGUUAAAGAUAUAGAAAGGCGAUAGCUAUAGACAGGUAGUAGUUAUAGGCAGAUAAUAGCUAUAUAGCUAUAGAAAGGUGAUAGCUAUAGGCUUACGGUAGUUAUAGACAGGUAAAAAAUAUAGAAAGGUGAUAGCUAUAGACAGGUAGUAAUUAUAGACAGGUAAUAGAUAUAGAAAGGCGAUAGCUAUAGACAGGUAGUAGUUAUAGACAGAUAAUAGCUAUAUAGCUAUAGAAAGGUGAUAGCUAUAGACUUAUGGUAGUUAUAGACAGAUUAAAGAUAUAGAAAGGUGAUAGCUAUAGACAGGUAGUAAUUAUAGACAGGUAAUAGAUAUAGAGAUGUGAUAGCUAUAGACUGGUGGUAGUUUUAGACAGGCAAUAUAUAUAGAGAGGUGAUAUCAAUAGACUGGUGGUUGUUAUAGACAAGUAAUAGUUACAGAUAUUUGAUAUCUAUAGACUGGUGGUAGUUAUAGACAGGUAAUAUUUACAGAGAGGUGGUAGUUAUAGACUGGUGGUAGUUAUAGACAAGCUAAGGUUAGGUUAGGAAUUGAACAAUCUUCUUCACCGGACUAAAAAAAAUACAAUACAUAGUACAUGCUGAUACUAAUGAAAUUAACAAAAUGUACAAUGUAUCAUAAAAAACAAAUACAGCUAAAUUUCAUUAAAUUUCAUCAGUUCAUAUUGAAAAUUCGUCUCUGUAAUUGUAAACCAGGUCUUGGUUAUCCCAAAACUUGUCAGGUCUAUUUCAAAACAGUUUGUAUUUGGCACAAAUAUCACAGAAUCUCGUAUAUUGUUCCAAAGGCAUGUGAUAGUUUUGUACAGGUGGUAGGUAAAGACAGGUGGUCGCUAUAGACUGUUGGUAGGUAAAGACAGGUUGUAGCUUUAGAGAGGAAGUAGUUAUGGACAGAUGGUAGCCUUAGACAGAUGGCGUAAGUUGUUAUUUUGACCGGUGCUAUUGCCAGGUAAUAGAGUGUAGCUUUAAAUGUUGGAGAUACAUGUAGCUAUAGAAAAGAUUAUUUAUUUAAAGGUUCGUUUGACUUUCAUAAUAUACUCGGGAUAGUUAUUGACGCUAUUUCAUACAAAUUGAACUGCAGUUGUAAACAAAUGAUGUCUAUUUCUGGUUUGACUGUACGUCUAAACUCAGGUUAAAGCCAUAGACAAGCAUUACUUUAUAAGACUUUGGCGGUAGUAAAAUGAUGUCUAUUUCUGGUUUCUGGCAAACAAAAAGAAUAGGGAAAGAUGUCACACACGAAUACAGCUAGCUUUAUUCAAUGAGAAUGAUGACAUGAUUGCUCGUCAAUGGACACCGUCUUAUGCAGUUAAUUUAACGAUUGGUUGUUUAUGCACACAUUCUAAGGCAGGUAAUAUAAAGAUUUGUUGUUUAUGCACGCAUUCUAAGGCGGGUGAUAUAACGUUUUGUUGUGCAUGCACACAGUCUAAGGCAGGUACUAUAAAGGUUGGUUGUUUAUGUACACAGUCUUAGGCAGGUAAUAUACAGAUUGGUUGUUUAUGCACACAGUCUAAGGCAGGUAAUAUAAAUGUUGGUUGUUUAUGCACACAGUCUAAGGCAGGUAAUAUAAAGAUUGGUUGUUUAUGCACACAGUCUAAGGCAGGUAAUAUAAAGGUUGGUUGUUUAUGCACACAGUCUAAGGCAGGUAAUAUAACGAUUUGUUGUUUAUGCACACAGUCUUAGGCAGGUAAUAUAACGAUUUUUUGUUUAUGUACCCAGUCUAAGGCAGGUAAUAUAAAGACAUUUGCUAAAUACAGACAGUACGUGAAUCACAUUUUACCUUAUUUUUUUUUUUUCAUUUCCUUUUUUUUUUUUUUGUAAAUUUUUGGGAACAUUUUUAAAACAAAAUAAUUUUCAAAGCAAUAAUUAAUGAAACGACAAAUUAUAUAAACAAAAAUGUUGCUGACAGUUCUCAUGACAGUUGUUUGAUACAUGUAUGUACUCCUCUAGAAA
Mizuhopecten yessoensis (Yesso scallop) is the source of this 2714-nucleotide long non-coding RNA. RefSeq lists it as uncharacterized. The record is from RefSeq and is a predicted model, not a curated record. Lineage: Eukaryota; Metazoa; Mollusca; Bivalvia; Pectinida; Pectinidae. The transcript has 2 exons.